Molecule: non-coding RNA, 783 nt
Filed under: Thaumetopoea pinivora (Eastern pine processionary)
Lineage: Eukaryota; Metazoa; Arthropoda; Insecta; Lepidoptera; Notodontidae
Source: RNAcentral
AUAUAAAAAAUAUUGUGAUUUAAAAAAUUUAUUUUAAAUUUAUUUUACAUAUAAAUUUUAGUGUUAAAUAAUUCUUUAUUUUAAUAAAUGGGAAAUUUUAUAUUAUAGUAAUUAGUAUUAAAAAUUUAAGAAAUUAAGAUUUAGUAAUAUAGAAAUUAAUAACAAAUUUUGUGCCAGCAGUUGCGGUUAUACAAAAGUUAAAUUGAAUUUUAUUAGUAAUUAAUUAAUAAAUUUAGUUUUUUAGGUAAAAUUUAAAAUUAUUAGGUGAAAUUUUAAUUUAAUUAAAACUUAUUAAAAAUUUAUGAUUUAAUAAUUUUUAUAAUAAACUAGGAUUAGAUACCCUAUUAUUAAUUUUUAAAGAAAGAUGCUAAAAGAGUAGGUAGUUAAAAUUGAAACUUAAAUAAUUUGGCGGUAUUUUAGUUUAUUUAGAGGAAUCUGUUUAAUAAUUGAUAUUCCACGAAUAAAUUUACUUAAUUUAUAAUUUUGUAUAUCGUUGUUAUAAAAAUAUUUUUUAAUGAAAAUAAUAUUUUAAAAUUUUUAUUUAAAAUUAAAUCAAAUCAAGAUGCAGAGGAUAAUUAAGAAUAUAAUGGAUUACAAUAAAUUUAAUUUAAAUGGAUAUUAAUUUUUAAUUAUAAAAUUGAAGGUGGAUUUAAAUGUAAUUUUAUUUAAUUUAAUAAAAUGAUUUAAAAUUAAAAUAUGUACAUAUUGCCCGUCACUUUCAUAUAUUUAAAUUGGGAUAAGUCGUAACAAAGUAGAGGUACUGGAAAGUGUUUCUAGAAAGUU